This 1273-nucleotide long non-coding RNA is filed under the name Heterocephalus glaber (naked mole-rat). Its description in RNAcentral is "lncRNA (ENSHGLG00100028255.2)". The record is from RNAcentral. Lineage: Eukaryota; Metazoa; Chordata; Mammalia; Rodentia; Bathyergidae.
AAGCUACUUUGCUUUGGGAGUGCUGUCUGGCCAGACUAAUAAAGGUCUGUUUUACUUUCCAACUUGUCCGGUGUGUUCCUUCCCGGGUGUUCUUCGCUGCAGUCAGCUCCUCAGAGCGUUUGGUAAGGCCCUCGGUCUUACAACUUGAGUGAGAAAGAAGCUUAGGGAAAAAAACCCAGAGAAGAGAAAACACUGAGAGGUGAGAGGAACAAGGGAGAUGGUGGAGAAGGACCAACAUGCACAGCAACACAACUGGAACAGGAGAGCUGAGGGCCAGAGGGGCAGGAGUUGGCCGCUGCAGUCCGGUGACAAGAACAGUGAAAGGGCACUGUAUGUGGAAGGGCUCCACAUCGACCUCCCUCACGAUGUCCUAAGAUACCACGCUUCAUCCCCGGCCAAGGUGGAGUUCAGCCCCUCACCACAGCCUCAGAUCACAGACUGCACUUCCUGGUCAGACUGACCACCUAUGCUUCCCCCUGGGCCUUGGCCCAGCAGCUGAAAUGCCACUUCUGCUGAGAGCCUUUCACAGCUACUCCAUCCAGCAGCUGUCUGGGACCAUCCGUGUUUUCACUUCACUCACUCAUUUUCAGAGCACUUCUCACCACUGGUAAUGAUCAUUUAAUUGGCUUGUGCAUUAGAAUGAGGGUGACAAUGGUCCCGAUUCAGCAGUCUCCUCAAGUUGUUGAGCAUUAACUGAGGCAAUAGUGUGUGCACGCUACUGAAACAGUGCCUGGCUGCUAUCUUGGACCAAGUAAGAGCAGUGUUAUUAGAAGGGAGACUGGCAAAGUGGUCUGUAGGACUGGGCCCCCUAACAAAACAGAUUUAUGCUCUAAGGGGAGAAGGUGAACAUGCUCUUGGGUGCUGUACCAGCUGUCUUUGCUUCAGUCUGCAAACCAUGUAACAUGCUGCUGCAAUCCUGUGGUUAGAGAUUUUCCUCCCAAGUGUCAUUAAGCUAAAACUGAAGUUAAUCUCUCAUUCUCAUUUUAUAUGUAUGCAUGAACUAAAUCUAUAGGGUUGUUAUUUACCACAAAUCACACAGCCAGAAGUAGAGAGCCUCAGUUGGGUCUCAGUCUUUCUAGGUGGUGGUUAGGGAAGGAGGAGACACUCCUGGUGGAGCCUGCUUCCCUGAUGGGCACUAACAUGAGCUGACGGUGUGUUCUUGGGAGAGCCCAGAGCUUGCUCUACAGAUGAUCUGGGGCGAAGACAACAAGCAGCAGUGGUGAAUCCAGAUACUACGCCCUCUGUUCUUCAAGACUGCUGAGCUGUAUUUCUG